UUGAUGGCAGAUGUUCAGAAGCCUGGGUUGUCGAGGACUGGGUCAGUGCAAUGGAGAAACUGUUUGAGGAUUUGUUUAUUCCUGAGCGGGAGCAGGUACACCUGGGAGUUCACUGCUUGACAGAAGAUGCACUUGUAUGGUGGAAGAGAGUGAGACGAGAUUAUAGAUUGGUGACCUUGCAGAUGAGAUGGGAUGAGUUCUGCGGCAUGCUGUAUAGGAUGUAUUUUUCCAACAGUGUAAAGCAGAAGCUCGAAGAGGAUCUG
Molecule: long non-coding RNA, 263 nt
Filed under: Ananas comosus (pineapple)
Lineage: Eukaryota; Viridiplantae; Streptophyta; Magnoliopsida; Poales; Bromeliaceae
Description: long non-coding RNA (ACOM_LNC044047)
Source: RNAcentral